Molecule: long non-coding RNA, 223 nt
Filed under: Capsicum annuum
Lineage: Eukaryota; Viridiplantae; Streptophyta; Magnoliopsida; Solanales; Solanaceae
Description: long non-coding RNA (CANN_LNC009359)
Source: RNAcentral
AAAAAAACUGCACAUUGAAUAAGGGAAAUAAAUGGCUAUUAAGUGAGCAAUGUAUUUUUGCCUAUUCAUAUUCUAUUUUUCAUACUAUAUAUAAUCUUCUCAUUUUUUGGGAGGGUCUUAUGAUAUGUUUUUUUCUCUUCUCCUUUAUUUUCUUCUUUCUUUUUUGUUUUAAUUUUAUUUUAUAUCUUUGAUUUUAAUGUAUAUUAUCAUUAUCUUAUAAAAA